Non-coding RNA from Desmophyllum pertusum, 77 nucleotides. The record is from the annotation of a GenBank genome assembly. NCBI's taxonomy places the organism in Eukaryota, Metazoa, Cnidaria, Anthozoa, Scleractinia, Caryophylliidae.
UCUCCUGUAGCUCAGUGGUAGAGCGUCCGUCCUGUGUGCGGAAGCUCAUAGGUUUAAAUUAACUCCUGUGGGGGGAA